This is a long non-coding RNA of Etheostoma cragini (Arkansas darter), 292 nucleotides long. RefSeq lists it as uncharacterized. The record is from RefSeq and is a predicted model, not a curated record. The transcript is spliced from 6 exons. NCBI's taxonomy places the organism in Eukaryota, Metazoa, Chordata, Actinopteri, Perciformes, Percidae.
ACCAGUUAACUGCUGGUAAAUGACAAAAACAAGCACCAGAAGGGAAAAGCAUAUUUUACAAUAACUUAAAAUGCACCACAAGGCUGGCGAGUUCCAACUAAACGAACCAUCUGUGUUGUUUUUCUGACGUCGGCAGCUGCAGUCAGACUGUUACGUCCCGGUGUUGGAAUCCUUUUUCAGUGAAAUACAGCCACGCUUUUCACCAUUUAGCUUUCAGCAUUUAAACCAUGUUUAAGCCAAAUACUACCUAACGGUAGGCUAACGUUACCUGCUGUGUAGUGUUAAAUAGCAC